This 2479-nucleotide long non-coding RNA is filed under the name Actinidia chinensis (golden kiwifruit). Its description in RNAcentral is "long non-coding RNA (ACHI_LNC007240)". Lineage: Eukaryota; Viridiplantae; Streptophyta; Magnoliopsida; Ericales; Actinidiaceae. The record is from RNAcentral.
UGAGAGAGAACGUAAGGAAGAAAAAAAAAAGAGAGAAGGAACUGCUUAGAAAGGGAGAGAAGAAGAGAGGAAGAAGAAAAGAAAAAGGGAGAAGCUCAGCGAACCACGUUUUUCAACGAUUUUUCACACGGUAAUCUUACUUUUCUUUGUUAUCCUUUAUGUAUUUAUUUAGCUUAGAUAAUCGUUAAAAUGCUCUAGGAUUAAUUAUUACACUCUAUCAUGUUAAAAUUUCAAAAUACCACGAAAAUAUGGUACAAGAAAGUCAUCUUAGGAUCAUAUAUUAAGUAUGAAACUUUGUCAUAUUUUUGUUUCAAAAUUAUAGUUAGUAUUUUGGGCAAAACUCCCUCAUACAAAAAUCUUUUGAGUUGAUUCAAGUAUCGUAUAAUAACUAUUUCAAAUACCUACAAUUUUACUUCAAAUAAUAUUUUUUUAAUUUUGAGAUUAAGACACCAAAACAGGCUUGGAAGUCACGACAGAAAAACAGAAUCUGUCGUUUUUUUCAUCUGGACCGGUCGGGCUUUUCCCCGACCGAUAGAGAAAAUAUGAGUUAAGAUCAAACAUGUCCCCGACCAGUCAAAGUUUUACAGAUCCCAACUUUUAACCAUUGAACCUUCAAUUGUUGACACAAUUCUAUGUCAACAGAUUUAUUUUCAUUGAAAGAAUUUAAGCCAAAGUCGUAAACCUUACAUUUCUUUUUGUAAAAGUCAUAAACCUUACCUUUCUUUUUACUUUAAAUUUACAAUAUAAAUAAGAAAAUACAUAUCAUUUGGAUUCAAUAAAAAAUACAAGAAACUGUAAUUCUCACUAAAUCAAAAAAUAAAAUUCAGUUUUAGUACAAAAAUAAUUUUCGAUAAUUAUUUUAAAAAUGAUUCUUCUUGCUAUUGAAGGUAUACAUUGUAAUAAAAAUUUUAUAAAAUUAAUUUUGACUAUUCAAUGUAUAAAAAACAAUUAUCGAAAAAAAUAAUUAAAAUUUUAAUUUUUCAAAAUUUUAUUUUUCACACUUAGUCAACAUUUGACGAAAAACAGUUUUUCAAAAAAAAUUAUCAUGUAAAUCUCUUUUGAGAGUCUCACUUCACCGUAAACUUUUCCAAUCAUAGUCUUUAAUACUAUUCAUUGAAAUAAAUAAAACGUCUAGGAAUCGAUUCAGCUUUCUUAAGUAAUGCGACGAAUGAGAAUAACACAAUACACACGCAAACAGAUAAGUAACCUUAAUCUUUAAAGUAGAGUAAAUUACUCUUCUAUGCUAUGAUAUACACAUAAAUUAUGUUAUGAUAUGCAAAUCAAAUUUAUAGAUUAGAUAAGAAUCUUUCAAAAAAAUUUGUAUGUAUAUGCUUAUGCACCUCAUGUUUUUACCUUUCGGAAAGGUAUUCGGCACUGGCGUACCUCGACCUAAGAGGGCGUGGAUCUGUAUGAUACCUAGAGCUGCAAAUUUGGGCCGGGCCCACGAGCACGCCCAAGUGCCGACCUGUUACUGUAGUAGGCCAGCUAAGUUCGGCCCGUGAAGAAACCCGACUGACCCGUGGCCCAUUACUUAUCGAUUGCGUGUUGGGCAUAAUUUUUCAAGCCCGAUCCUCUAAUAAAACUAGCCCAUUUCAACCCGUUAACCAAUCCGCCAAAGUAGCUCAUCCCAACUGGCCCAAUAGCCCGUUUGUUGGGCCCGUUUUCAAGCCCGUCACUGUAGCAAAACUUUUAAAUGGUUGAGUGUGGUAUGAAUCGAACUCGACCUCCCACCCUAAAUGCAAAUGCUCAACUACUUGGACCAACCACUUAUUUGGUUGUACAAGCGUCAUAUAUAUUAUAUAAAUACUUAAUUCCAAAGCUACAAAAAAUAAUCUUGCUCAACUACUUGGACCAACCACUUAUUUGGUUGUACAAGCGUCAUAUAUAUUAUAUAAAUACUUAAUUCUAGAGCUACAAAAAAAAAAGAAAAUGUGUUGCCUUGGAAUCGAACUCGCAAACUCUCGACCCAAACGCGGACACCCAACUACAGCACCAACCACUCAGUCGCUGAUAAAAAUAGAAUAUUUAAUAUAUAAACACAUAUUACACGUGUCAACAAACUACUUUAUCUCACGCCCAAUGACUCUUUUGUUACUUUUUGAAUUUCUUGAACUUUUUUACCUCCCAAUUGCUAUAUAACGGCUACUUUUGGGUAUAAAAUGAUAAUUAGAGUAUAAAUGACCUAAAUACUCCUCUCCAACGACUAUAAACAACUAAUCUUUUUAGGUAUUUUGGUCCAAUUAGCCUAUAAAAAAAUGUAUAAAUACAUCUACUCCUCCACACUUCUUCCUCACUCAAUUCUUACUCAAUCUACUAAUUCUCUACAAUUCUCUCAAUACUUGCUCAAUACUCUCUCAAUAAGUUCUAGUUAUUCAACUGCUCGGCAUUUCUCAAGUGUUGAAAAAGUAUUACAGAAGUGUUGAAUCCCGAUGUUUCAAACUCUUCGGACUUGAGGUAUCUUAAUAUCAAUAUAUUUUUU